Molecule: transfer RNA, 72 nt
Filed under: archaeon
Lineage: Archaea
Also listed under: 5 other names
Description: tRNA-Thr
Rfam family: tRNA
About the family: Transfer RNA (tRNA) molecules are approximately 80 nucleotides in length.
Source: RNAcentral
GCCUCGGUGGCUUAGGGGUAUAGCGCGUCCUUGGUAAGGACGAGGUCGGGGGUUCAAAUCCCCCCCGAGGCU